UUUCUCUUUUGUCUUUU
Molecule: small RNA, 17 nt
Filed under: Arabidopsis thaliana (thale cress)
Lineage: Eukaryota; Viridiplantae; Streptophyta; Magnoliopsida; Brassicales; Brassicaceae
Description: ATSL182660
Source: RNAcentral